This 492-nucleotide ribosomal RNA is filed under the name uncultured bacterium. RNAcentral describes it as "partial 16S ribosomal RNA". It matches the Rfam family "Bacterial small subunit ribosomal RNA", at positions 29 to 507 of the family's 1533-position model. The record is from RNAcentral.
AGUGAACGCUGGCGGUAGGCCUAACACAUGCAAGUCGAACGGCAGCACAGUAAGAGCUUGCUCUUACGGGUGGCGAGUGGCGGACGGGUGAGGAAUACAUCGGAAUCUACUUUUUCGUGGGGGAUAACGUAGGGAAACUUACGCUAAUACCGCAUACGACCUACGGGUGAAAGCAGGGGAUCUUCGGACCUUGCGCGAUUGAAUGAGCCGAUGUCGGAUUAGCUAGUUGGCGGGGUAAAGGCCCACCAAGGCGACGAUCCGUAGCUGGUCUGAGAGGAUGAUCAGCCACACUGGAACUGAGACACGGUCCAGACUCCUGCGGGAGGCAGCAGUGGGGAAUAUUGGACAAUGGGCGCAAGCCUGAUCCAGCCAUACCGCGUGGGUGAAGAAGGCCUUCGGGUUGUAAAGCCCUUUCGUUGGGAAAGAAAAGCAGCAGGUUAAUACCCCGCUGUUCUGACGGUACCCAAAGAAUAAGCACCGGCUAACUUCGUG